UCCGGUUUAACACCGGCAGUCUCCUUAGAGUCCCCGGCAUGACCCGCUGGCAACUAAGGACAAGGGUUUCGCUCGUUAAGCGACUUAACGCGACAUCUCACGACACGAGCUGACGACAGCCAUGCAGCACCUGUGCAAAGGCUCCCCGAAGGGCACCCCGGGCUUUCACCCAGGUUCCUAAGCAUGUCAAGACUAGGAUAAGGUUCUUCGCGUAGCCUCGAAUUAAGCCACAUCCUCCACCGCUUGUGUGAGCCCCCGUCAAUUCCUUUGAGUUUUAGCCUUGCGGCCGUACUCCCCAGGCGGGACACUUAAUGCGUUAGCUACGGCACUGGCGGGGUUGACGUUGGAGGAAUUCCA
This 357-nucleotide unclassified non-coding RNA is filed under the name uncultured Pirellulaceae bacterium. RNAcentral describes it as "contains 16S-23S intergenic spacer region". Lineage: Bacteria; Pseudomonadati; Planctomycetota; Planctomycetia; Pirellulales; Pirellulaceae. The record is from RNAcentral.